UACUAGAGUAGCACUCGCAUAUCAAUAAGCGGAGGAAAAGAAACUAACAAGGAUUCCCCUAGUAACGGCGAGUGAAGCGGGAAGAGCUCAAAUUUGAAAUCUUAAAGGGUUUCCCUUUACGAAUUGUAGUUUAAAGAAGUGUUCUCUGUUGAGGUUUUGGUAAAAGUUCUUGGAAUAGGACAUCAUAGAGGGUGAGAAUCCCGUAUUUGACCUUUACUUUCAACUUUGUGAUACACUUUCAAAGAGUCGGAUUGUUUGGGAAUGCAGUCCAAAAUGGGUGGUAAAUUUCAUCUAAAGCUAAAUAUUGGCGAGAGACCGAUAGCGAACAAGUACCGUGAGGAAAGAUGAAAAGAACUUUGAAAAGAGAGUUAAACAGUACGUGAAAUUGUCAAAAGGGAAGCGUUUGACACCAGUGUUGUUUUUCUGAAAAUCAAUUAAAGAACUGUUUAUGCUAAGUUGUUUAGACUUUAUCAGCUAUCUGUUUAGUUUUGAGCUUUUCUUUAAUGCACUUUUCAGUUAACAAGUCAACAUCAAUUUCUUUUGCUGUAAAAAAGCUUGAGGAAGGUGGCUUGAGAUUCGUCUUAAGUGUUUAUAGCCUCUUGCCUAUGUCAGUCGGAGAGAUUGAGGUCUGCAGCGUAGAUCCUUCGGGGCUAAAUGCAUUUGUGCUAAGUUAUAGCAUUUUAUAGACAACUUGUUGACUAUGAUUUGUCUUGUAGCUUACUCGCUUAUGUUAUUUUACCUACGCUUAGGAUGUUGAACUACUGAGACAUAGA
RNAcentral lists this ribosomal RNA (773 nucleotides) under uncultured Neocallimastigales. RNAcentral describes it as "partial large subunit ribosomal RNA". It matches the Rfam family "Eukaryotic large subunit ribosomal RNA", at positions 20 to 644 of the family's 3401-position model. Lineage: Eukaryota; Fungi; Neocallimastigomycota; Neocallimastigomycetes; Neocallimastigales. The record is from RNAcentral.